AAGACUAUACUUUCAGGGAUCAUUUCUAUAGGUUUCGACUUGAGAAAUGUGUUUCUAAAGUGAUUGGUCUCGCCAACCACGAUGAAGAGGUACGAUAUCCCUUCCUGAGCGUUAAGCUGGCUUCGAGUGUUGAGUUCCUCAUCUGCUUGUUGCCCUUGAUGACCGUUCCAUGUUUUCGCUUGAAAUAUGGAGGGGAAGGGAUAUGGUCAGAGUGGU
This is a small nucleolar RNA of Hippocampus zosterae (dwarf seahorse), 216 nucleotides long. RefSeq annotates it as small nucleolar RNA U3. The transcript has a single exon. The record is from RefSeq and is a predicted model, not a curated record. NCBI's taxonomy places the organism in Eukaryota, Metazoa, Chordata, Actinopteri, Syngnathiformes, Syngnathidae.